RNAcentral lists this ribosomal RNA (2899 nucleotides) under Cronobacter sakazakii. RNAcentral's name for it is "Bacterial large subunit ribosomal RNA". It matches the Rfam family "Bacterial large subunit ribosomal RNA". Lineage: Bacteria; Pseudomonadati; Pseudomonadota; Gammaproteobacteria; Enterobacterales; Enterobacteriaceae. The record is from RNAcentral.
GUUAAGCGAACAAGCGUACACGGUGGAUGCCCUGGCAGUCAGAGGCGAUGAAGGACGUGCUAAUCUGCGAAAAGCGCCGGUAAGGUGAUAUGAACCGUUAUAACCGGCGAUGUCCGAAUGGGGAAACCCGGUGCACUUCGGUGCAUCAUCGUUAGCUGAAUACAUAGGCUAACGAGGCGAACCGGGGGAACUGAAACAUCUAAGUACCCCGAGGAAAAGAAAUCAACCGAGAUUCCCCCAGUAGCGGCGAGCGAACGGGGAACAGCCCAGAGCCUGAAUCAGCUUGUGUGUCAGUGGAACGGUCUGGAAAGGCCGGCGAUACAGGGUGACAGCCCCGUACACGAAGGCACACAGGCUGUGAGCUCGAUGAGUAGGGCGGGACACGUGAUAUCCUGUCUGAAGAUGGGGGGACCAUCCUCCAAGGCUAAAUACUCCUGACUGACCGAUAGUGAACCAGUACCGUGAGGGAAAGGCGAAAAGAACCCCGGCGAGGGGAGUGAAACAGAACCUGAAACCGUGUACGUACAAGCAGUGGGAGCCUUCGUAAGAGGGUGACUGCGUACCUUUUGUAUAAUGGGUCAGCGACUUAUAUUCUGUAGCAAGGUUAACCGUAUAGGGGAGCCGAAGGGAAACCGAGUCUUAACCGGGCGUUAAGUUGCAGGGUAUAGACCCGAAACCCGGUGAUCUAGCCAUGGGCAGGUUGAAGGUUGGGUAACACUAACUGGAGGACCGAACCGACUAAUGUUGAAAAAUUAGCGGAUGACCUGUGGCUGGGGGUGAAAGGCCAAUCAAACCGGGAGAUAGCUGGUUCUCCCCGAAAGCUAUUUAGGUAGCGCCUCGUGAACUCAUCUCCGGGGGUAGAGCACUGUUUCGGCUAGGGGGCCAUCCCGGCUUACCAACCCGAUGCAAACUGCGAAUACCGGAGAAUGUUAUCACGGGAGACACACGGCGGGUGCUAACGUCCGUCGUGAAGAGGGAAACAACCCAGACCGCCAGCUAAGGUCCCAAAGUCAUGGUUAAGUGGGAAACGAUGUGGGAAGGCCCAGACAGCCAGGAUGUUGGCUUAGAAGCAGCCAUCAUUUAAAGAAAGCGUAAUAGCUCACUGGUCGAGUCGGCCUGCGCGGAAGAUGUAACGGGGCUAAACCAUGCACCGAAGCUGCGGCAGCGACACUGUGUGUUGUUGGGUAGGGGAGCGUUCUGUAAGCCUGCGAAGGUGUGCUGUGAGGCAUGCUGGAGGUAUCAGAAGUGCGAAUGCUGACAUAAGUAACGAUAAAGCGGGUGAAAAGCCCGCUCGCCGGAAGACCAAGGGUUCCUGUCCAACGUUAAUCGGGGCAGGGUGAGUCGACCCCUAAGGCGAGGCCGAAAGGCGUAGUCGAUGGGAAACAGGUUAAUAUUCCUGUACUUGGUGUUACUGCGAAGGGGGGACGGAGAAGGCUAUGUCGGCCGGGCGACGGUUGUCCCGGUUUAAGCGUGUAGGCUGACUUUCCAGGCAAAUCCGGAAGGUUAAGGCUGAGGCGUGAUGACGAGGCACCACGGUGCUGAAGUGACAAAUGCCCUGCUUCCAGGAAAAGCCUCUAAGCAUCAGGUAACAUCAAAUCGUACCCCAAACCGACACAGGUGGUCAGGUAGAGAAUACCAAGGCGCUUGAGAGAACUCGGGUGAAGGAACUAGGCAAAAUGGUGCCGUAACUUCGGGAGAAGGCACGCUGACAUGUAGGUGAAGCCCCUGCGGGUGGAGCUGAAGUCAGUCGAAGAUACCAGCUGGCUGCAACUGUUUAUUAAAAACACAGCACUGUGCAAACACGAAAGUGGACGUAUACGGUGUGACGCCUGCCCGGUGCCGGAAGGUUAAUUGAUGGGGUUAUCGCAAGAGAAGCUCCUGAUCGAAGCCCCGGUAAACGGCGGCCGUAACUAUAACGGUCCUAAGGUAGCGAAAUUCCUUGUCGGGUAAGUUCCGACCUGCACGAAUGGCGUAAUGAUGGCCAGGCUGUCUCCACCCGAGACUCAGUGAAAUUGAACUCGCUGUGAAGAUGCAGUGUACCCGCGGCAAGACGGAAAGACCCCGUGAACCUUUACUACAGCUUGACACUGAACAUUGAGCCUUGAUGUGUAGGAUAGGUGGGAGGCUUUGAAGCGUGGACGCCAGUCUGCGUGGAGCCGACCUUGAAAUACCACCCUUUAAUGUUUGAUGUUCUAACCUGGCGCCGUGAUCCGGCGUGGGGACAGUGUCUGGUGGGUAGUUUGACUGGGGCGGUCUCCUCCCAAAGUGUAACGGAGGAGCACGAAGGUCAGCUAAUCCUGGUCGGACAUCAGGAGGUUAGUGCAAUGGCAUAAGCUGGCUUGACUGCGAGAGUGACGGCUCGAGCAGGUGCGAAAGCAGGUCAUAGUGAUCCGGUGGUUCUGUAUGGAAGGGCCAUCGCUCAACGGAUAAAAGGUACUCCGGGGAUAACAGGCUGAUACCGCCCAAGAGUUCAUAUCGACGGCGGUGUUUGGCACCUCGAUGUCGGCUCAUCACAUCCUGGGGCUGAAGUAGGUCCCAAGGGUAUGGCUGUUCGCCAUUUAAAGUGGUACGCGAGCUGGGUUUAGAACGUCGUGAGACAGUUCGGUCCCUAUCUGCCGUGGGCGCUGGAGAAUUGAGGGGGGCUGCUCCCAGUACGAGAGGACCGGAGUGGACGCAUCACUGGUGUUCGGGUUGUCAUGCCAAUGGCACUGCCCGGUAGCUAAAUGCGGAAGAGAUAAGUGCUGAAAGCAUCUAAGCACGAAACUUGCCCCGAGAUGAGUUCUCCCUGAGACUGUAAGUCUCCUGAAGGAACGUUGAAGACGACGACGUUGAUAGGCCGGGUGUGUAAGCGCAGCGAUGCGUUGAGCUAACCGGUACUAAUGAACCGUGAGGCUUAACC